Molecule: ribosomal RNA, 253 nt
Filed under: uncultured bacterium
Lineage: Bacteria
Description: partial 16S ribosomal RNA
Rfam family: Bacterial small subunit ribosomal RNA
Source: RNAcentral
UACGAAGGGGGCUAGCGUUGCUCGGAAUUACUGGGCGUAAAGCGCACGUAGGCGGCUUUCUAAGUCGGGGGUGAAAUCCUGGAGCUCAACUCCAGAACUGCCUUCGAUACUGGAGAGCCCGAGUCCGGGAGAGGUGAGUGGAACUGCGAGUGUAGAGGUGAAAUUCGUAGGUAUUCGCAAGAACACCAGUGGCGAAGGCGGCUCACUGGUCCGGUACUGACGCUGAGGUGCGAAAGCGUGGGGAGCAAACAGG